AGCAGCCGCGGUAAUUCCAGCUCCAAUAGCGUAUAUUAAAGUUGUUGCAGUUAAAAAGCUCGUAGUUGAAUUUCGGGAUCAAUAUGUUGGUCGUGCCUUGGUACGUACUGGCAUUAUCGAUUCCUACCUUCUGAAGAACCUCGAUGUCAUUAAUUUGGUGUCUUGGGGAAUCAGGACUGUUACUUUGAAAAAAUUAGAGUGUUUAAAGCAGGCUCGCGCUUGAAUACAUUAGCAUGGAAUAAUGAAAUAGGACGUUUGAUUCUAUUUUGUUGGUUUCUAGGAUCGACGUAAUGAUUAAUAGGGAUAGUUGGGGGCAUUAGUAUUCAAUUGUCAGAGGUGAAAUUCUUGGAUUUAUUGAAGACUAACUACUGCGAAAGCGUUUGCCAAGGAUGUUUUCAUUAAUCAAGAACGAAAGUUAGGGGAUCGAAGACGAUCAGAUACCGUCGUAGUCUUAACCAUAAACUAUGCCGACUAGGGAUCGGAUGAUGUAAUUUUUAAUGUACUCAUUCGGCGCCUUAAC
Molecule: ribosomal RNA, 520 nt
Filed under: uncultured Glomus
Lineage: Eukaryota; Fungi; Glomeromycota; Glomeromycetes; Glomerales; Glomeraceae
Description: SSU rRNA
Rfam family: Eukaryotic small subunit ribosomal RNA
Source: RNAcentral